ACCUGGCUGGCUCAGUCAGUGGAGCAUGUGACUCUUGAUCUCAGGGUCGUGAGUUCAAGCCCCACACUGGGUA
This 73-nucleotide transfer RNA is filed under the name Ailuropoda melanoleuca (giant panda). It matches the Rfam family "tRNA". From Rfam's summary of the family: Transfer RNA (tRNA) molecules are approximately 80 nucleotides in length. The record is from Rfam by way of RNAcentral. Lineage: Eukaryota; Metazoa; Chordata; Mammalia; Carnivora; Ursidae.